AAAAAAAAACUCCAACGGCUACGGCAGUCUGCAACGGCAUGGAUUUGCCGACGCCAAUAGUCCCAUUUUAGCGACUGCAAUUGUCGGCGUCGCACUAACAGGAAUGGGAUGCGACGGCAUGGCGUGUCCGUGGCAUGUUUUUAAUAUCAAGAGCGACGGAGAAUCAAACGCGGUGGCUAAUAAAACUUGAAAUGCGUUUUGAAAAAAUAGAAAACCAUUUGCUUCGGGAAAAGAAGCAAAACAGAUCUCUCCCCCUCAGAUUUACUUUCUAUCCUUCUCUUCAUCUCGUCGACAAAUAACCGAUUAUGUGGAGAAUCUCUCAUCACCUCCUUGACGAUUAAUGUAGCUUCUCUCGGAACAAUGCUCCCUCACUUUCAGAAAUGAACUUGGGAGUACUGGGACUAGUUGUUCUACAAUGAUUAGCUCAAGGAAGCAGAGAUUAUCAGGGCAGAAAUGGUCAUACAAGGUCUAUGAAGUUUUUUCCGAGUUAGUUGUGUACUAGAGGAAUGCCACAACUCAGUUUGUUUCUUUUUAUAGGUUGGGCUAAAAGGAGAAGCCAUGAAUCUCUGUUCUCCAACUUCCACCUCUAUCUGCAGUGAAUUGGAGGAGGGUGUUUAUAGGGACACAAAAUCAACAGCCACUGACUUGGUAUAAGUGAUACUUGAACCCUCAUGCCAAUUCUGAUGCACCUGAAGGAGAUGAGCCUUUGGCUUUGGACAUGGGAAGCAUGCAUGGGGAAGGGUCAAGUAUGAUUCAAUGGGGAGAGCAUUGGAAGAUACUGGACUAUUCAUGCUAAUGGUAAUUGGUAUAGCUAAUCCACUUGGACAUGGGAAUCGUUACAAACUGAAUCUAUUAGCUUGCAAUCCACCAGUUCAAUAUAUUGCAAGGUUGUUCUUCAUGAAUAUUUGGGUUCAAGUUUCAUUGGGAUUUGUCAUGAUUGAGUGCUAGUAUAUAUGAACAUAUAUAUUCUCUUGAUUUCUUUUAUAAGCACAUACUUGUUUGUUCAUAAUCUCUUGGUGCUGUAUGUUCAAGAAGGGGUUUUGAUUCUGAGGCCGGAGGCUGAGCUCAUUGUUGAUUUGAUGGGUGAUGUGGUGAAGGAUAAGGAGGGUUUUAGAGAGGGUUUGUGGGAGACUGGGAGUGGGGCUAUUGCUAUUGGGAUUGGGAGGUUUUUGGGGACUGGUGUCAGAGUCAUUGCAACUGAUUUGAGUCUCACUGCGAUUUCGGUUGCGGGUUUUAAUGUGGAGAGGGAGGUAUGGUUUACAGUGAGAUUAUGCACGCGGCACUACAAAAAAGAAUUGCAAUGGCUACACAUAGUUAGCAUCGGCCAAGGGAACAUGGAUGUUGUAGUUAUAGCGCUGCAGAAUUAGUUUAAUAUCCGGGAAUUAUAUCUUUGGUCCACUGCCCAUUGACAUCAUAAAGAGCUGGACUAAUAUCGAAACUUUGCUGUCAAAACAAUUUCGUCAAGUCCGUCUAUUACUUUCUGUUUUGAUAUUCAUGGAGAUAUGCACAAGAGUACUCGCAGCAGCCCCCUAUUCAGGAACUAAUUGGAAGGGAUCUUCAUGAUAUAUAAUGAAUGGAAAUUCAGACAUAUUUCGAGGAGGCUUGCAACAACACUAGAGUAAUUGGUACAUGAAGUAGAUCGAGGAAGAUCCCUGCAAAGUUCAUCUUGAAGUAGCUAGAGGAAAAUAACUAACUUGUAAAGCUUAAUUAUCGAUCUUGUAAAUUUUGGUAGAAGCUUCAUUCAUUUUGUAACAUUUAUGAGGAAAAUUAAAGUGUAACAUUUCCUUUUAUAUAAGCUUCAUUCCUUUUUG
Long non-coding RNA from Rosa rugosa (rugosa rose), 1811 nucleotides. RefSeq lists it as uncharacterized. The record is from RefSeq and is a predicted model, not a curated record. Lineage: Eukaryota; Viridiplantae; Streptophyta; Magnoliopsida; Rosales; Rosaceae. The transcript is spliced from 8 exons.